CCUACGGGUGGCAGCAGUGAGGAAUAUUGGUCAAUGGUCGGGAGACUGAACCAGCCAAGCCGCGUGAGGGAGGAAGGUACAGAGUAUCGUAAACCUCUUUUGUCAGGGAACAAAGACUGGGACGCGUCCCCGGAUGAGUGUACCUGAAGAAAAAGCAUCGGCUAACUCCGUGCCAGCAGCCGCGGUAAUACGGAGGAUGCGAGCGUUAUCCGGAUGUAAUGGGGGUAAAGGGUGCGCAGGCGGUCUGUUAAGUCAGCGGUCAAAGCCCGGGGCUCAACCCCGGACCGGCCGUUGAAACUGGCAGUCUAGAGUUGGAGAGAGGUAUGCGGAAUGCGUGGUGUAGCGGUGAAAUGCAUAGAGAUCGAGAAGAACUCUGAUUGCGAAGGCAGCAUGCCGGCUCCACACUGACGCUGAGGCACGAAAGCGUGGGUAUCGAACAGGAUUAGAUACCCCUGUAGUC
RNAcentral lists this ribosomal RNA (460 nucleotides) under uncultured bacterium. RNAcentral describes it as "partial 16S ribosomal RNA". It matches the Rfam family "Bacterial small subunit ribosomal RNA", at positions 338 to 795 of the family's 1533-position model. The record is from RNAcentral.